UGUAGGUGCAAAAGGAGGCGUAGGCGGAAAAAGGGCUGUUGAAGUCAUUUACAACUUAACAGCCGAUUUAGCCUAAAUUGGUAUUUGGGCCUGCCUGAACAGGCAAUGGCCCGAAGCUACCAUCCGUUGGAUUAUGGCUGAACGCCUCUAAGUCAGAAUCCGUGCUAGAACGCGACGAUUACCGCCUUUUCCGAUUUUUAGUUGAAUACGAAUAGAGCUUCGGCUCCUGAAUCAUGCUACGCGGGGUUAUCUUGUGGAGCGGAAAGGCUUCAUGAGGUUCCUACUAAUGUCAAUUUCAAAUAUUGGAAGAGAUAAAUCCAUUGCAGACGACUUUUAUUGAACGAGGUAUUGUAAGCUGUAGAGUAGCCUUGUUGCUACGAUCAGCUGAGAUUAAGUCCAUUGUACUACAGAUUU
This 414-nucleotide non-coding RNA is filed under the name Lobosporangium transversale. Its description in RNAcentral is "Eukaryotic large subunit ribosomal RNA". It matches the Rfam family "Eukaryotic large subunit ribosomal RNA", at positions 3006 to 3399 of the family's 3401-position model. The record is from Rfam by way of RNAcentral. Lineage: Eukaryota; Fungi; Mortierellomycota; Mortierellomycetes; Mortierellales; Mortierellaceae.